This 483-nucleotide ribosomal RNA is filed under the name uncultured bacterium. Its description in RNAcentral is "bacterial SSU rRNA". It matches the Rfam family "Bacterial small subunit ribosomal RNA", at positions 29 to 508 of the family's 1533-position model. The record is from RNAcentral.
AUGAACGCUAGCGGCAGGCCUAAUACAUGCAAGUCGAACGGUAUAAGUUGUAGCAAUAUGACUUAGAGAGUGGCGUAAGGGUGCGUAACACGUAUGCAAUCUACCCUCAACAGGAGUAUAGCUCGGGGAAACUCGGAUUAACACUCCAUAAUAUCAUUUGAAGGCAUCUUCAGAUGAUUAAAACUGUGGUGGUUGAGGAUGAGCAUGCGUCUGAUUAGUUAGUUGGAGGUGUAACGGACCCCCAAGACGAUGAUCAGUAGGGGAACUGAGAGGUUGAUCCCCCACACUGGCACUGAGAUACGGGCCAGACUCCUACGGGAGGCAGCAGUAGGGAAUAUUGGUCAAUGGGUGAGAGCCUGAACCAGCCAUGCCGCGUGCAGGAAGACGGCCUUCUGGGUUGUAAACUGCUUUUAUCUGGGGAUAAAAAGCCCAUGCGUGGGACAUUGAAGGUACCAGAUGAAUAAGCACCGGCUAACUACGUGC